ACCAAAAAUCUAGCCUCCAAAACUCAUCUCACCAAAACUUCACAACUCCACGAAAAACUGAUCUCAGUCAAAACCCUCCUCCGCCCCAAAACCCAUCUCCGCCAAUGGAGACAGCGGCGGCGGUUUCUUCCCAGCAGCCUUCCCUCUCCAAUCCUUCGCCAGUAACGACCCUUCCCAAGCUCCUCGUGUCUCUUUCAACGUCUCUCUCAUCCGUUCACCUCAUUUUCCCAUUUCUUCCCGGAAGCACAGGGCAGUUUGUUGUAGUUGGAGCUCUCCCGAGGCUGGCUCCUGUGCUCAUAGAAAAGGGAUUUAGUAAAUUAGAUCAUUCUUUUCCUUAAAGUUGUUCUAUGUUUAGAAAGUCAUUUUUUUUUCCUCUUCUAAUGUUGAUCUGAACUUGAUUGACAGGGAUGAUCUGGUAGAGAAUUUAUGCCUAUGCCAAUCAAUUUUCUCUUGGAUUCUUUAUCAUUGACCUUUGCUACCAUUUGAUGGGAGCCCAAAGGUUACAAUAUACUUCAAAGAAAAAAUCAGUCGAAUGACUAGCUGCGUAAGCUACUGGAAAUAGUCAAGCGCUUGGAGGAAGGUGUGUUCAGAGACACUGCAACAAAGUUGAUGCCAAUGCCAUGAUAACGAUCAAGGAGCGGUAUCAGAUCUAGAGGAAUUGGAUGGGAGAUCCAUGUUUCCCUAGUGCUUUUGUUUGGGAUGGACUAAUUAAAUUGUACUUAUAACUAGUCAAAUUCUCCAAGGGUCACUGCUUUGUGAGUUCUACAAGGUGGAUUGACCAAAUAAAUAACCAAAUUUGUUGCUAGUCAUAGUGCACUACAAUACUUUGAUAAAGAGGGACUAAUCAAGCGUAGAGAUAGCAAUCAACGUGAAGGUUGAAGUCAAGACGGUUAAUGCUAGAGAAUCAACGGGCUCGCUAAAAGUGGCAGAACGAAGGUCUAUUGCAGUUGCCGAUCUUAUAAUUACGUACAUUGAGGACUAAUUGUGUUUAGCCUAAGAGGAAUGGCUAGAAAAAGCAUAUGAACCAAAGUAUUUUUAAUCCUUUACGACUCAAGAUUUUCUGAUAAUAAUAAAACUGUUAUUGAACUCA
This is a long non-coding RNA of Zingiber officinale, 1090 nucleotides long. RefSeq lists it as uncharacterized. The record is from RefSeq and is a predicted model, not a curated record. Lineage: Eukaryota; Viridiplantae; Streptophyta; Magnoliopsida; Zingiberales; Zingiberaceae. The transcript is spliced from 6 exons.